UACGUAGGGUGCGAGCGUUGUCCGGAAUUAUUGGGCGUAAAGGGCUCGUAGGCGGUCUGUCACGUCGGGAGUGAAAACUCAGGGCUUAACCCUGAGCCUGCUUCCGAUACGGGCUGACUAGAGGUAUGCAGGGGAGAACGGAAUUCCUGGUGUAGCGGUGAAAUGCGCAGAUAUCAGGAGGAACACCGGUGGCGAAGGCGGUUCUCUGGGCAUUACCUGACGCUGUGGAGCGAAAGUGUGGGGAGCGAACAGG
Molecule: ribosomal RNA, 253 nt
Filed under: uncultured bacterium
Lineage: Bacteria
Description: partial 16S ribosomal RNA
Rfam family: Bacterial small subunit ribosomal RNA
Source: RNAcentral